CCAGGAAAAGCCUCUAAGCAUCAGGUAACAUGAAAUCGUACCCCAAACCGACACAGGUGGUCAGGUAGAGAAUACUCAGGCGCUUGAGAGAACUCGGGUGAAGGAACUAGGCAAAAUGGUGCCGUAACUUCGGGAGAAGGCACGCUGGCAUUAGGUAAAGGGACUUGCUCCCGGCGCCGAAGCCAGUCGCAGAUACCAGCUGGCUGCAACUGUUUAAUAAAAACACAGCACUGUGCAAACACGAAAGUGGACGUAUACGGUGUGACGCCUGCCCGGUGCUGGAAGGUUAAUUGAUGGGGUCAGCCGCAAGGCGAAGCUCUUGAUCGAAGCCCCAGUAAACGGCGGCCGUAACUAUAACGGUCCUAAGGUAGCGAAAUUCCUUGUCGGGUAAGUUCCGACCUGCACGAAUGGCGUAAUGAUGGCCAGGCUGUCUCCACCCGAGACUCAGUGAAAUUGAACUCGCUGUGAAGAUGCAGUGUACCCGCGGCAAGACGGAAAGACCCCGUGAACCUUUACUAUAGCUUGACACUGAACAUUGAGCCUUGAUGUGUAGGAUAGGUGGGAGGCAUAGAA
RNAcentral lists this ribosomal RNA (573 nucleotides) under Yersinia enterocolitica. RNAcentral describes it as "partial 23S ribosomal RNA". It matches the Rfam family "Bacterial large subunit ribosomal RNA", at positions 1608 to 2161 of the family's 2925-position model. The record is from RNAcentral. Lineage: Bacteria; Pseudomonadati; Pseudomonadota; Gammaproteobacteria; Enterobacterales; Yersiniaceae.